This 492-nucleotide ribosomal RNA is filed under the name uncultured bacterium. RNAcentral's name for it is "partial 16S ribosomal RNA". It matches the Rfam family "Bacterial small subunit ribosomal RNA", at positions 29 to 507 of the family's 1533-position model. The record is from RNAcentral.
AGUGAACGCUGGCGGUAGGCCUAACACAUGCAAGUCGAACGGCAGCACAGUAAGCGCUUGCUCUUACGGGUGGCGAGUGGCGGACGGGUGAGGAAUACAUCGGAAUCUACUUUUUCGUGGGGGAUAACGUAGGGAAACUUACGCUAAUACCGCAUACGACCUACGGGUGAAAGCAGGGGAUCUUCGGACCUUGCGCGAUUGAAUGAGCCGAUGUCGGAUUAGCUAGUUGGCGGGGUAAAGGCCCACCAAGGCGACGAUCCGUAGCUGGUCUGAGAGGAUGAUCAGCCACACUGGAACUGAGACACGGUCCAGACUCCUACGGGAGGCAGCAGUGGGGAAUAUUGGACAAUGGGCGCAAGCCUGAUCCAGCCAUACCGCGUGGGUGAAGAAGGCCUUCGGGUUGUAAAGCCCUUUUGUUGGGAAGGAAAAGCAGCAGGUUAAUACCCCGCUGUUCUGACGGUACCCAAAGAAUAAGCACCGGCUAACUUCGUG